GCUGCUUCUCAGCCUUUUGGCUAAGAUCAAGUGUAGUAUCUGUUCUUAUCAGUUUAAUAUCUGAUAUGUCUUCCCUGGUGGCUCGGACUGUAAAGCAUCUGUC
This 103-nucleotide small nuclear RNA is filed under the name Ovis aries (sheep). RNAcentral describes it as "U2 spliceosomal RNA (ENSOARG00040049529.1, ENSOARG00180027896.1, ENSOARG00220059942.1, ENSOARG00260058378.1)". It matches the Rfam family "U2 spliceosomal RNA". From Rfam's summary of the family: U2 is a small nuclear RNA (snRNA) component of the spliceosome (involved in pre-mRNA splicing). Complementary binding between U2 snRNA (in an area lying towards the 5' end but 3' to hairpin I) and the branchpoint sequence (BPS) of the intron results the bulging out of an unpaired adenosine, on the BPS, which initiates a nucleophilic attack at the intronic 5' splice site, thus starting the first of two transesterification reactions that mediate splicing. Lineage: Eukaryota; Metazoa; Chordata; Mammalia; Artiodactyla; Bovidae. The record is from Rfam by way of RNAcentral.